CAUUAUUUUGUUUUCCUUUUACCUUCUAGAAGUGCAGUCAUCUAGACAUGGAGGAGAAGCUGCUCAAGAGAUAUCAAAUCAUGGACCCGGGUGUCAUGGCUGAGCUGGAGUGAAAAUUGGAACUAUGCAGAUGUGAGUAGUUUUAAAUUAGCAUGUACACAAGCGCACUGUUUCUGUGGUACAUGUAUAUCAGACUAGUCUUACAGGUUGCAGUAGAUUUGUUGUGUCAUAUCCGCGAGGUACCGGUUAAGCAGAUGUUACAUGUACGUGCCCAUUCAUAUCUGUCACGCUAGAGGUUAGGGGUCACGUGACUGCGAUUAGGUUUUGGGGGAAUACGGAAAGAGGGGCCCCUGUGAUUAGCAGUAUAAAGAGCCUCAUUUAGCCCCUCCCCCCCUAAUCGAAACUAUAAUUAGCACAUCGCAGUUUGCAACACUCGUUAUUAUUAGUGAGUUUUCAUGAUUUUAGUCCAUUUAUCAUCUGUUGGUUUAAGUUACCGUAAUGCCGGUUUAUCAUGUUUUCCUGUUCCUUUGCACAGUUUGUGUGUGUUAUGUCACUGUGAUCGACCCACCCCAUGCUGGAGGUUGAUGUGAGUUGAGACUGAGAAUGAUGCCCUGUCAGUAAUGAACCCGAACACUCACUCAUGCCUUCAAGAAGUUUAGGUGCUAACUUCAGCCCUUCCUCUACCUACCUGUAAAAAUUUGGCUCUCUACGAAGCUUUAAACAGGUCAAGCGCGGACGUUGAAGAAACUCACCGAACGUUCAUUUUUUACAAUGAAAUUUACUGUUUACGUGAGGGAAUUUCCCUAUUAUUGUUAAUUAUUUUUAACAAAAAAAGAUUACAACUUGUA
Halichondria panicea is the source of this 848-nucleotide long non-coding RNA. RefSeq lists it as uncharacterized. The transcript has 2 exons. NCBI's taxonomy places the organism in Eukaryota, Metazoa, Porifera, Demospongiae, Suberitida, Halichondriidae. The record is from RefSeq and is a predicted model, not a curated record.